This 236-nucleotide unclassified non-coding RNA is filed under the name plant metagenome. RNAcentral's name for it is "partial contains small subunit ribosomal RNA, internal transcribed spacer 1, and 5.8S ribosomal RNA". The record is from RNAcentral.
UCUCCGUUGGUGAACCAGCGGAGGGAUCAUUACCGAAGUUACCUUCAAAACCCACUGUGAACCUUACCUCUUGCCGCGUUGUCUCGGCGGGAGGCGGUGGGCGUCACGCGCCCUAGCGGGCCGCGCCGCUCCCGGCCCCGCCGGCAGCGCCAAACUCUAAAUGCACAGCGGACUGUACGUUCUGAUUUACAACAAAAAACAAGUUAAAACUUUCAACAACGGAUCUCUUGGUUCUG